UGAGUUCCUCUCCAUUCGUCUGUAAUGCCUGAAAAUGCUAAGGGGCCGAUUAUGGCUCUGUCUACUUCCUCUCCAAGUCUUCCAUGGCGAACACCCAAGACAGCCAUGGUUGCCAGACAAGGAGAUACCAAUGGUAAAGGCAAAUCGCAUUCAGCAACACAGACCUUCUACUACACACUUCCUACUGGCUGUAAGGACUGAUCUCUGCAUUUGCCUGGAACCUCAGCACUAGGAAGCCUGUGACAGGAAGAUUUAAGGGCAAUACAAAGGCUGUAUGUCUUCAGACAGCAGGGGCUACAAAGAGACAUCUAGUCUCAAGUAAAUAAAUAAAGAUUACUUUCUGCCUUAAA
Molecule: long non-coding RNA, 350 nt
Organism: Grammomys surdaster
Lineage: Eukaryota; Metazoa; Chordata; Mammalia; Rodentia; Muridae
Exons: 2
Source: RefSeq, a predicted model, not a curated record